RNAcentral lists this ribosomal RNA (408 nucleotides) under uncultured bacterium. Its description in RNAcentral is "partial 16S ribosomal RNA". It matches the Rfam family "Bacterial small subunit ribosomal RNA", at positions 29 to 526 of the family's 1533-position model. The record is from RNAcentral.
AGUGAACGCUGGCGGCGUGCCUAAUACAUGCAAGUCGAACGGAGUGGCGCACGGGUGAGUAAUGUAUAGCUAAUCUGCCCUACACUAGAGGACAACAGAUGGAAAAGACUGCUAAUACUCGAUAGUGUAGGAUGAGGCUAUAUUGUAUCAGCUAGGUGGUGAGGUAAUGGCGCACCAAGGCUAUGACGCAUAACUGGUCUGAGAGGAUGAUCAGUCACACUGGACGUGAGGCACGGUCCAGACUCAUACCAGAGGGGGCAGUAGGGUAUAGUGCCCAAGGGGGGAAACCCUAAAGCACCAACGCGGCGUAGAGGAUGACAAUUUUCGGAGCGUAAACUCCUUUUGUUAGGGAAGCGGUACCUAACGAAUAAGCACCGGCUAACUCCGUGCCAGCAGCCGCGGUAAUAC